AUGCCCUUAGGCACGGCCAUGCAUAACAUAGAAAUCACACGUGGAAGGGGUGGGCAAUUAGCUAGAGCAGCAGGUGUUGUAGCGAAACUCAUUGCAAAAGAGGGUAAAUCGACCACUUUAAGAUUACCAUCUAGGGAGGUCCGUUUAGUAUCCCAAAACUGCUUGGCAACAGUCGGACAAGUGGGUAAUGUUGGGGUGAACCAAAAAAGUUUGGGUAGAGCCGGAUCUAAGUGUUGGCUAGGUAAACGCCCCGUAGUAAGAGGGGUAGUUAUGAACCCUGUGGACCACCCCGAUGGUAGCGGUGAAGGGAAAGCUCCCAUUGGUAGAAAAAAAACCCACAACCCCUUGGGGUUAUCUUGCGCUUGGAAGAAGAACUAG
Molecule: ribosomal RNA, 378 nt
Filed under: Triticum aestivum (bread wheat)
Lineage: Eukaryota; Viridiplantae; Streptophyta; Magnoliopsida; Poales; Poaceae
Description: partial small subunit ribosomal RNA
Source: RNAcentral